RNAcentral lists this ribosomal RNA (516 nucleotides) under bacterium 'H. scabra 60 (M-H)'. Its description in RNAcentral is "bacterial SSU rRNA". It matches the Rfam family "Bacterial small subunit ribosomal RNA", at positions 358 to 866 of the family's 1533-position model. The record is from RNAcentral.
GGAAUAUUGCACAAUGGGCGCAAGCCUGAUGCAGCCAUGCCGCGUGUAUGAAGAAGGCCUUCGGGUUGUAAAGUACUUUCAGUCGUGAGGAAGGNGGUGUCGUUAAUAGCGGCAUCAUUUGACGUUAGCGACAGAAGAAGCACCGGCUAACUCCGUGCCAGCAGCCGCGGUAAUACGGAGGGUGCGAGCGUUAAUCGGAAUUACUGGGCGUAAAGCGCAUGCAGGUGGUUUGUUAAGUCAGAUGUGAAAGCCCGGGGCUCAACCUCGGAAUAGCAUUUGAAACUGGCAGACUAGAGUACUGUAGAGGGGGGUAGAAUUUCAGGUGUAGCGGUGAAAUGCGUAGAGAUCUGAAGGAAUACCGGUGGCGAAGGCGGCCCCCUGGACAGAUACUGACACUCAGAUGCGAAAGCGUGGGGAGCAAACAGGAUUAGAUACCCUGGUAGUCCACGCCGUAAACGAUGUCUACUUGGAGGUUGUGGCCUUGAGCCGUGGCUUUCGGAGCUAACGCGUUAAGUA